AGUAUUUUAUAGGAACUGAAACAGGUAUGAUAUGCACAAGCACUCUUCCAUCAAUGGAGUUCCACCUCUUGUAGAACUGGAGCCACAACAAUAUGAACAGCAUUCAACUAAUUUAUUAGUGAAUUAAUAUCACAAUUAAUACAGCUUAUGCAUGCUAAGUUUCCUAUUUCUGUCAAAGAAACUGUUUUUAAAGUUGAAGAUUCCUCCCCUUAAUUCUUCUGUUCUUCUAUCUUCUACGAGACAGAAGAUACAAAUAAAAUCCAGGUCUGUUGACCUAUCUCAGUUGCAUUUAUUGCAAUA
Molecule: long non-coding RNA, 300 nt
Organism: Nothoprocta perdicaria
Lineage: Eukaryota; Metazoa; Chordata; Aves; Tinamiformes; Tinamidae
Exons: 2
Source: RefSeq, a predicted model, not a curated record